This 409-nucleotide ribosomal RNA is filed under the name uncultured microorganism. RNAcentral's name for it is "bacterial SSU rRNA". It matches the Rfam family "Archaeal small subunit ribosomal RNA", at positions 330 to 745 of the family's 1478-position model. The record is from RNAcentral.
GUGCAGCAGGCGCGAAACUUUACAAUGUGCGAAAGCACGAUAAGGGAACUCUGAGUGCCUCCUAAGGAGGCUGUUCAGGUGUCUAAAAGCACCUGGAGUAAGGGCUGGGUAAGACCGGUGCCAGCCGCCGCGGUAACACCGGCAGCCCAGGUGGUAGCCACUUUUAUUGGGUCUAAAGCGUCCGUAGCCGGUUGAGUAAGUUCCUUGGGAAAUUUGGCUGCUCAACAGUCAAGCUUCCAGGGAAUACUGCUCGACUUGGGACUGGGAGAGGUCAGAGGUACUCCAGGGGUAGGGGUGAAAUCCAUUAAUCCCUGGGGGACCACCGGUAGCGAAGGCGUCUGGACCAGACCAGGUCCGACGGUGAGGGACGAAGGCUAGGGGCGCGAACCGGAUUAGAUACCCCGGUAGU